UACAGAGGGGGAAGGCGAGAAACGGUAUUGCUGGACGAAAAGCGCGCGUAGGCCGUCGAGUAAGUCAGAUGUGAAAUCACCGGGCUUAACCUGGGAAUUGCAUUCGAUACUGUUUGGCUAGAGUGUGGAAGAGGGAAGCGGAAUUUCCGGUGUAGCGGUGAAAUGUUUAGAUAUCGGAAGGCACACCAGUGGCGAAGUGGGCUUCCUGGUCCAACACUGACGCUGAGGCUCGAAAGCGUGGUUAGCUAACAUG
This 253-nucleotide ribosomal RNA is filed under the name uncultured bacterium. RNAcentral describes it as "partial 16S ribosomal RNA". It matches the Rfam family "Bacterial small subunit ribosomal RNA", at positions 524 to 776 of the family's 1533-position model. The record is from RNAcentral.